RNAcentral lists this ribosomal RNA (640 nucleotides) under Clostridioides difficile. Its description in RNAcentral is "bacterial SSU rRNA". It matches the Rfam family "Bacterial small subunit ribosomal RNA", at positions 221 to 880 of the family's 1533-position model. Lineage: Bacteria; Bacillati; Bacillota; Clostridia; Peptostreptococcales; Peptostreptococcaceae. The record is from RNAcentral.
CAGGAUGGACCCGCGUCUGAUUAGCUAGUUGGUAAGGUAACGGCUUACCAAGGCGACGAUCAGUAGCCGACCUGAGAGGGUGAUCGGCCACAUUGGAACUGAGACACGGUCCAAACUCCUACGGGAGGCAGCAGUGGGGAAUAUUGCACAAUGGGCGAAAGCCUGAUGCAGCAACGCCGCGUGAGUGAUGAAGGCCUUCGGGUCGUAAAACUCUGUCCUCAAGGAAGAUAAUGACGGUACUUGAGGAGGAAGCCCCGGCUAACUACGUGCCAGCAGCCGCGGUAAUACGUAGGGGGCUAGCGUUAUCCGGAUUUACUGGGCGUAAAGGGUGCGUAGGCGGUCUUUCAAGUCAGGAGUGAAAGGCUACGGCUCAACCGUAGUAAGCUCUUGAAACUGGGAGACUUGAGUGCAGGAGAGGAGAGUGGAAUUCCUAGUGUAGCGGUGAAAUGCGUAGAUAUUAGGAGGAACACCAGUUGCGAAGGCGGCUCUCUGGACUGUAACUGACGCUGAGGCACGAAAGCGUGGGGAGCAAACAGGAUUAGAUACCCUGGUAGUCCACGCUGUAAACGAUGAGUACUAGGUGUCGGGGGUUACCCCCCUCGGUGCCGCAGCUAACGCAUUAAGUACUCCGCCUGGGAAG